Molecule: long non-coding RNA, 1150 nt
Filed under: Chloebia gouldiae (Gouldian finch)
Lineage: Eukaryota; Metazoa; Chordata; Aves; Passeriformes; Passeridae
Description: Erythrura gouldiae (Gouldian finch) lncRNA (ENSEGOG00005001791.1)
Source: RNAcentral
CCCGCGGCAGAUGCACCCGCAAUGAACGCUAAAGGGACACCCCCGCCCCCAGCCGUACCUCCCCCCAAAACUCAGAGGGAAGGGGGGCUCCCCCGGAGCGCAGCUUUUCGGCCGGGAAAACCGUUCGGACGUUAAAAAAAAGACGUUUUGUCCUGUUUUGCUGUAAGGAAUUAGGAAUUAUUGCUGUUACUGUUGCGUUUGGAGAUUCAUCGCGUUGUUACUCAAGCUCUGCCUGCAGUGAGGUUCCAGCGUAGCAUCCACAACCUCCGCUAAACCCAACCCAUUAGCGCUGAGGCUGCAAUAAAACGAGAACUAAACCGAACCUUGUAUGAACAUCGAUGCAUCCAGCCGCAGCAACUUUAGUAAUAAUCAUAUUCAGGUGCACAAAAUAGUCACAGGGAAAAUCCUCUUUCGUAUCUUUCCAUUUUUCCACCUUGAUUGAAUCUGAAGGAAAUCAGAUGUGCGAGAGUGAUCGAAACGUGCUAAGAUAGAGGAUCUUGCAGGACUUUAAACGCCGUGGCGGCGGAGAUGAGAUCGAUAGAGGAGAGGAAGGAAGGAAAUGGAUGCUAUCUGUCCGAGGGCGCUCCCGCAGCCUCCUCUCCCUCCCGCCCAUCUCCGACGGCACUUUCCGCCACCCCGCUCCGCGCUCCCGCCGCCCGCGGCCGCCGGGCCACACACGCCACCGCCGCCGGUGCGACGGCUCCGGCGAGGCCCGCGGGAGCAGAGCCAGUCGCCGCGCGUUCCCGCCGAGGAGACCCUGACCCCUUGCUCCGCGCUGCUCCGCAUCUCUCCGCGCCUCACAGAGGGGUGCGCGCAGCCUGCCCGCUCUACGGCGGAUGGACAGAUCACCCGGAUUGUUUUUAUUUUUAGAGGAAUGCCCCUUGUUGUUGAUUUUUUUUUACUCCUCCCUAGAUUUCUGUAGGUUGCUAUGUGGCAUGCUGUUUUCAUUUCUUGAUUUUUUGAAAUAACUGUUUGGAUUUAAAUUUAUCGAACAACCUGUUAUCCAUAUGUCUGUCCGAUUAAUUUUUUUAUGGGAUGAUGAAAGAGAGAAGAAUCUAUAUAUAUAGUGAUCUGCUAAUGGAAUAAUAUAUAUAUCCAAAACACCUUUCUGGGGUUACUUUUAUUUCCGGACUUUAAAAUACAGUCUGGG